GAUGAACGCUGGCGGCGUGCCUAAUACAUGCAAGUCGAGCGAACAGACGAGGAGCUUGCUCCUCUGACGUUAGCGGCGGACGGGUGAGUAACACGUGGAUAACCUACCUAUAAGACUGGGAUAACUUCGGGAAACCGGAGCUAAUACCGGAUAAUAUAUUGAACCGCAUGGUUCAAUAGUGAAAGACGGUUUUGCUGUCACUUAUAGAUGGAUCCGCGCCGCAUUAGCUAGUUGGUAAGGUAACGGCUUACCAAGGCAACGAUGCGUAGCCGACCUGAGGGGGUGAUCGGCCACACUGGAACUGAGACACGGUCCAGACUCCUACGGGAGGCAGCAGUAGGGAAUCUUCCGCAAAGGGCGAAAGCCUGACGGAGCAACGCCGCGUGAGUGAUGAAGGUCCUCGGAUCGUAAAACUCUGUUAUUAGGGAAGAACAAAUGUGUAAGUAACUAUGCACGUCUUGACGGUACCUAACCAGAAAGCCACGGCUAACUACGUG
Molecule: ribosomal RNA, 497 nt
Filed under: uncultured bacterium
Lineage: Bacteria
Description: partial 16S ribosomal RNA
Rfam family: Bacterial small subunit ribosomal RNA
Source: RNAcentral